UCAACGGCUCUUUUAAGAGCCACCCACAUUCACGACAGAAGAGUUG
This is a regulatory RNA element of Alligator mississippiensis (American alligator), 46 nucleotides long. It matches the Rfam family "Histone 3' UTR stem-loop". From Rfam's summary of the family: The mRNAs of metazoan histone genes lack a poly-A tail. 3' end processing occurs at a site between a highly conserved stem-loop (modelled by this family) and a purine rich region around 20 nts downstream (the histone downstream element, or HDE). NCBI's taxonomy places the organism in Eukaryota, Metazoa, Chordata, Crocodylia, Alligatoridae. The record is from Rfam.